RNAcentral lists this transfer RNA (75 nucleotides) under Alphaproteobacteria bacterium. RNAcentral's name for it is "tRNA-Cys". It matches the Rfam family "tRNA". From Rfam's summary of the family: Transfer RNA (tRNA) molecules are approximately 80 nucleotides in length. Their secondary structure includes four short double-helical elements and three loops (D, anti-codon, and T loops). Further hydrogen bonds mediate the characteristic L-shaped molecular structure. tRNAs have two regions of fundamental functional importance: the anti-codon, which is responsible for specific mRNA codon recognition, and the 3' end, to which the tRNAs corresponding amino acid is attached (by aminoacyl-tRNA synthetases). tRNAs cope with the degeneracy of the genetic code in two manners: having more than one tRNA (with a specific anti-codon) for a particular amino acid; and 'wobble' base-pairing, i.e. permitting non-standard base-pairing at the 3rd anti-codon position. The record is from RNAcentral. Lineage: Bacteria; Pseudomonadati; Pseudomonadota; Alphaproteobacteria.
GGCCGGUUGGCAGAAUGGCUCAUGCAGAGGACUGCAAAUCCUUGUAUACUUGUUCGAUUCCGGUACCGGCCUCCA